CAGUAGCCGCGGGAAUACGUAGGUCCCGAGCGUUGUCCGGAUUUAUUGGGCGUAAAGCGGGCGCAGGCGGUUAGAUAAGUCUGAAGUUAAAGGCUGUGGCUUAACCAUAGUACGCUUUGGAAACUGUUUAACUUGAGUGCAAGAGGGGAGAGUGGAAUUCCAUGUGUAGCGGUGAAAUGCGUAGAUAUAUGGAGGAACACCAGUGGCGAAGGCGGCUCUCUGGUCUGUAACUGACGCUGAGGCUCGAAAGCGUGGGGAGCAAACAGGAUUAGAUACCCCAGUAGUCCCUGUCUCUUAUACA
Molecule: ribosomal RNA, 301 nt
Filed under: uncultured bacterium
Lineage: Bacteria
Description: partial 16S ribosomal RNA
Rfam family: Bacterial small subunit ribosomal RNA
Source: RNAcentral